UGUCACAGGGCAGAGGGCACAAAACUCUCCAUAUUUUUAUGUGCUUUACACAGCUGGGGCAAAGCAAGCCUGGUGGAACAGAUUCUUCCUUGAUAGGAAGAAAUAGGGUGGGGUAACACAGGUGGGAUAAAACCUGGGGAGGGAUAGGAGGAGAGUGCCAGGGAUGGGAAAUCAGAGGUGUGAAGCUCGUGAAGCAUCCCCAGUGUCUCUUGCAUGCAUGGAGAUCCCUGCUCCACAUCUCAGUGUCCCUCCCCAGUUCCUGGUGUGAGCACAAAGCCAGGUCUCAUUGUGCUGAACUAGAACGUCAGGUACACAAUUCAAGUACUCAAAAGCUGGGAAAUGAAGAGAUGAAGACUGGACUCCUUUAAUUUAAACACCUGGAUCAGAAAACUCUUCACUGUGCUGCAACCAAAGAGGGAAAAAAUUAGGGAUAACUUCAUAUUAUGUGCAGAUUUAUAUCUGUGUUCCCACAGAUAGGAGGGAAGAAGGUAGGAGAAGAUUCCAGGGAUGAUUCCCAGGGUGGAGCUGGGAAAAUAAGUCAGAACAGUGACCCUUGGCUGCUGAGGCAAAAGCUGGCAGUGACUCCAGCCCCAUGUACCCUAAUUUUUGUCCCAUCUGGCUGUCCAAGACUCCAGCACCAGCAGGACCAGGACUUUUACUCCCCACCACACUCUUUCUCUAGGAGAUGGAUAAUUUUGUUCAUGCCUGAAGACACCCCUAGAUAUAAAUGAGGCUUGGGUGGUUUUCUUCUCCCAGGAACAAGUGACAGGACAAGAGGAAAUCACCUCAAGUUGCACCAGGGGAGUUUUAUUAGGAGGAUAUUAGGGCAAAUUAAAAUACAAGUUGAAAGCAAAUGUUGCUACAGAGAGAAGACCUUCUCUUUUUUUUUUUCUUUAUUCUCCUUCUUUCCUUCUCUAGCUUUAGCAUGGUAUUUUCUGCCACAUUUUUGUGAUUACUUUUAGUAAUAUCUUGCCAGAUCAUUGUUAGGAAUCAUCUUUACAAAAAUAGCAGCAAUAACUUGUUGUGGCUGAAUAGUGGGAUUCCAAUAAAUGAAAACCAGAGAAAAAUCCCAAACCAAAACCCUGCUCUUAAUCUUGGUUCCCUUUCUGUUUAUUUG
Molecule: long non-coding RNA, 1117 nt
Organism: Cyanistes caeruleus (blue tit)
Lineage: Eukaryota; Metazoa; Chordata; Aves; Passeriformes; Paridae
Source: RefSeq, a predicted model, not a curated record